CCCAACUAUCCCUAUUAAUCAUUACGGUGGUCCUAGACCAACAAAAUAGAACCAACGUCCUAUUCUAUUAUUCCAUGCUAAUCUAUUCAAGCAAAAGCCCGCUUUAAACACUCUAAUUUUUUCAAGGUAAUGGUCCUGGUUCCCCGACACACCCAAUAAAGGGCAUACCGGCUCACCAGAAGGUGAGAAAUUGACUACACCAGUUCAUACCCCUUAAGGCACGACCGAUGUGUCAAUCCCGAAAUUCAACUACGAGCUUUUUAACUGCAACAACUUUAAUAUACGCUAUUGGAGCUGGAAUUACCGCGGCUGCUGGCACCAGACUUGCCCUCCAA
Molecule: unclassified non-coding RNA, 335 nt
Filed under: uncultured Glomerales
Lineage: Eukaryota; Fungi; Glomeromycota; Glomeromycetes; Glomerales; Glomeraceae
Description: sequence contains 18S rRNA gene
Source: RNAcentral